Molecule: ribosomal RNA, 104 nt
Filed under: uncultured bacterium
Lineage: Bacteria
Description: partial 16S ribosomal RNA
Rfam family: Bacterial small subunit ribosomal RNA
Source: RNAcentral
CCUUGUACACACCGCCCGUCACGCCAUGGGAGUUGGUUCUACCCGAAGGUGGUGCGCCAACCGCAAGGAGGCAGCCAACCACGGUAGGGUCAGCGACUGGGGUG